AACGCACAUUGCGCCCUCUGGUAUUCCGGGGGGCAUGCCUGUUCGAGCGUCAUUACAACCCUCAAGCUCAGCUUGGUAUUGGGCUCGCCCUUCAUGGGCCUGCCUUAAAAUCAGUGGCGGCUCCGUCCAGUCUCAAGCGCAGUAAUACUCGCCGCUUGUUAGGCUUGGUCGGCGGUUUGCUAACAACCCCCAAUUUUACAAGGUUGACCUCGGAUCAGGUAGGGAUACCCGCUGAACUUAA
This 241-nucleotide unclassified non-coding RNA is filed under the name Rhytismataceae sp. RNAcentral's name for it is "partial contains 5.8S ribosomal RNA, internal transcribed spacer 2, and large subunit ribosomal RNA". The stretch from base 1 to 52 matches the Rfam family "5.8S ribosomal RNA", at positions 103 to 154 of the family's 154-position model. Lineage: Eukaryota; Fungi; Ascomycota; Leotiomycetes; Rhytismatales; Rhytismataceae. RNAcentral also lists the same sequence under 2 other names. The record is from RNAcentral.